This 24-nucleotide ribosomal RNA is filed under the name Saccharomyces cerevisiae (brewer's yeast). RNAcentral's name for it is "partial ribosomal RNA". The record is from RNAcentral. Lineage: Eukaryota; Fungi; Ascomycota; Saccharomycetes; Saccharomycetales; Saccharomycetaceae.
GGUGAACUCGCGGAAGGAUCAUUA